UACAAUUUCGAGUUGGUGAUAGCGGUGGUCUGAUCUCCGUUCUCCAGAGAGAAAAGCAAAGUUAACCUCUUCAAAAUUCGAACCUAAAAAAUUUCCAGUUUCGUUUAUAUUACACCUUAUAAAAGAUAUUUUUGCAAUUUGACUCUCUUUUUAAUUGUAUACACCUUGAUCGCUUUGUCGAUGACAUGAUGUCUCUUGUCAACAAAGGAAAUGUGGUUCUCUUUGUGUCAGGGAAUGACGUGCCUACGGAUGACACGUCAGAUUUUAUUGCUACGAUUAAGCAACGCGUCGGAGACUCUGGCAAACUGCAAAUUGCGAAUUUAUCAGGUGUAAAGAAGGAAAGUCAUGGUGCUUCUACUUUUGACAUUGUCAUUGCCAUUUUUAAACAAUCGUGCACAAAUGAAGAUUUUCUAACUGAAGCGUUGAGAAUUCUGAAACCUGACGGUUUGCUUGUCAUUUAUGAACCAUUGUCGGCAGAUAGAAAAUCAGAUACGGUACUUACAUAUUCUGAAAGAAUAUCUAGACUAAAGUUGUCUGGCUUUAAAGUGAAAGAUACAGAGCAGAAGAACUGGGACGUAGAUUCGGAGAGUAAAGAUCUUUUGCUAAAGAUAUACAGCAAUGUGCAAAAUGUUUGCAAAGUAUUGGCGAGUAAACCACCAUUUGAAGUAGGCUCCAGCGUUCCUCUUUCAUUUACGAAAAAGCAUACUAAUGUAUGGAAAUUAGAUGAUCCAGUAGAAGAAGAUUUAAUAGAUGAAGAUGAACUUUUGGAUGAAUCAGACCUUGUAAAACCAGAUGCAUCUUCCUUAACAGUUUGUGCUACAACGGGCAAGCGAAAAGCAUGCAAGGACUGCACUUGCGGACUCGCGGAGGAAUUAAGUGGUAAAGCUGCACCGGAAAGCACUGUUAAAUCUUCUUGUGGCAAUUGCUACCUAGGAGAUGCAUUCAGAUGUGCUAGUUGUCCUUAUCUUGGAAUGCCUGCCUUCAAACCUGGGGAAAAAGUACUUUUGCUCGACUAACUGUCGAUUCUUAAGUUUGUCUUUUCUUUACUAGAACACAAUUACAAUAAACACGUAUUAUUCUUAUUCAUAUAACAAGAUAAUGGAGAUAAAAGUUUCUAUUCAAUAUUUUUCUACAUGUAAUUUAUCUUCUAUAAAAUGUUUUGGUCUUUUCAAGUUCUUUUCUUUCAAGGAUAAUUGUGUAUAAUUAAAUUCUACCCCUUAUUCUAUAUAGUAAAUGUUACUUGAGUAACAUGCAUGUUAUCGUAUACUGAAUUAUAUUAUUCAAGAAAUGUCAUUUUUUUAAUAUAGCGAAAUAUAAGAGCAAUAAGUUGAU
This is an RNA transcript of Monomorium pharaonis (pharaoh ant), 1332 nucleotides long. It is a transcript of the gene named anamorsin homolog, with no coding region annotated. The transcript is spliced from 6 exons. The record is from RefSeq and is a predicted model, not a curated record. Lineage: Eukaryota; Metazoa; Arthropoda; Insecta; Hymenoptera; Formicidae.